Molecule: ribosomal RNA, 253 nt
Filed under: uncultured bacterium
Lineage: Bacteria
Description: partial 16S ribosomal RNA
Rfam family: Bacterial small subunit ribosomal RNA
Source: RNAcentral
UACGGGGGGGGCAAGCGUUGUUCGGAAUUACUGGGCGUAAAGGGCUCGUAGGUGGCCAACUAAGUCGGACGUGAAAUCCCUCGGCUUAACCGGGGAACUGCGUCCGAUACUGGUUGGCUUGAGUUUGGGAGAGGGAUGCGGAAUUCCUGGUGUAGCGGUGGAAUGCGCAGAUAUCAGGAGGAACACCAACGGCGAAGGCAGCUCGCUGGGACGGUACUGACGCUAAGGCGCGAAAGCGUGGGGAGCAAACAGG